Molecule: long non-coding RNA, 2065 nt
Organism: Papaver somniferum (opium poppy)
Lineage: Eukaryota; Viridiplantae; Streptophyta; Magnoliopsida; Ranunculales; Papaveraceae
Exons: 7
Source: RefSeq, a predicted model, not a curated record
CGAAUUAUAUUGGAAUCCAGUUUCUCGAAGUUUCAAGCCGGAUUCUCCCUUCUUCGCAUCAGGCAAUAUUUGAAAGAGAGCUUCUCUGGCCGUCUCCUUUUCAUUUCCCUAACCAUUUUUUUAAGUGAUCAAUUUUUCUAAAUGUGGAAUUUUGGUUUUUUCUCUUAAAUCUGAUUAUGAUUGUUUGAUGUUUCAACUAAUCUUGGAUAGUUGUUAUCAGAAUCUUCAAUUUUCAAUUAUGAGGGUCCGUGUGUUUACCCUCAAAAUUUUCAAUUUUCUUGUGUUUUCUGUAUGGUAUUCAACGAUCAGUGCUUUUAUGUUUUACUUAUAGGGCAUCUCGUUGUUUUCUUUAUUUAGGUUGCGUUUUGAUAUAACUGAAGAUGAAAUGUAAUAACAACUUCAAUAUAUAGAAGAUGAAGAAGCCUGGGGUCUAUACUGUCCAAUUGUUGGGUGUGGUGCACGACUAAAUUCUUUGGAGGACUUUGAAGGAACUACCAUCCUCGGCAUACUGCAUCCUGUUCAGUGUGCUCAAGAGUGUUCCCAACGUCACGCCUGCUCAGUAUACAUGUCUCUGAAGUGCAUGCUUCUUUUUUUCAGUAUGAAUCCUUGUGAAAUGAAGCUAAAAGCUGCAAAAGUUGGCAGCAAAACCUUGGAGACAAGCGUAAGUUCCAAAGUCUUCCGAGUUCAUCGAAAAGGCCCGACCAUCCAAGAAACAUCGGCAGAAGAAGCAUCAUGCGCAAAAAUAACCUGAUAAUAAUAGUAAGAGGAUCAGUAAGAAAGAUGAUAAAGAGGCAAGCAGAAUGGCUGUGAAUAAGACUAUAGAUAGCCUUGUUUCUGCACUUCCAGACUGAGCACAUUAGACUAUUCUCCUUCUUCAGUCAGUAUUGGGAGACGCCACAAUCAAGUUUUUACAUUUGUUCCACGGGCUGUACAACAGAACAGAAAACAUAACCUUUCUGUUAAGGGCUCAGAAGGAUGAUUGCCGUAUUUCAAGAUGAUGAUUCUGCUUACAGGUUUUCUUUGUAAUUCAAAGCUAGAAAAUUCAGUGCUAUCUAGCAGGUUAAGUGUUCUCGGACAUAUUUAUGAUAUUUCUGCACUUUUCCAAAUCAUGUUGCCAAGUUCAACAUAUUACUCAAGGCAUCUUUUCUUCAGUCUCAACACAAGUUCUGUUGUUUUUACGAUUUCAUCCCGAGUCGGUGCAAUUAUAAGCACAAGAUUUUUUAAUGAGUCAGCAACUCAGGUUGCAUUAUUCAUAAUCAUCACAGAAGAAGGCCAUUGGCGAUGGCACAUUUUGUGUGCAAGGUGGAUUAGUACUGCCAGGACUACCACUACAACUAUAAUGAAACCAAUCCCAUCACUGAGCUGAACUUUCGUCUAAUCAGAUAUGAGCCGCAGUGCUCUUGCUUUUACUUCAUUUUUAAGUGGGGUUCGAGCAAUACCCAGAAUUCCUAUCAAGCAAAUUUUACAUCUCUGGAGAGUGCUAUGCUGGGAUAUAUGUGCCUACUCUGGCUUCUGAAGUUGUGAAGGAUGGCCAGCAGUCUCACCACUGGAAGUGUCUUAACUACUGCAGCUGAGAAGCAAAGACAUUUGCAGGCUUCUCUUGCUUUUGAAUGUAAAAGAACUCUCAGAUUGAAACUCAUUUCAACACUCCCUCUCAACGUGGCGUGUAGAUAGACAUCUCGCAUGGCUUGCUUGUCGAGGAAAGAGUUGAAUGGGUGACUUGGUGUUGAAUUAUGAAUCUCAUGGUCAGGUUACAUGAGAUACUGCAGUGUGUGCGUGCAGUAAUUGUGUAAAGUAUAGUCUGGGUUCAUACGUUUGUUUAAUGUAGAAAUAGUGUACAGAGAUUUGUGAACAAUGCUUAGAUAUUUUUACCUGAUUGAGACUCACUUCCGAGUGUUUUUACACUCUUUCAUUCACUCUCUCUUGAUUUCCACAUGGUAUUAGAGCUCAAGUGAGAGAGAAAAGAAAACUCAUCUUAGUUCUCUUCUUUAACUUGAUCUAUUGUUGCUUCAAUUUGCGAUUAAGACCCUGAAGUUAGAUACAAAGCUGGUUUAAAGAAGCUUUU